ACUCAAAUGAAUUGACGGGGACCCGCACAAGCGGUGGAUCGUGUUCUUUAAUUCGAUGAUAAACGAAGAACCUUACCAGGGUUUGACAUCCUUGGAAUUUCUAUGAAAGUAGAGAGUGCUUUAUUGAGCCAAGUGACAGGUGUUGCAUGGCCGUCGUCAGCUCGUGUCGUGAGAUGUUUGGUUAAGUCCAUUAACGAGCGCAACCCUUGUGAUUAGUUGUAUUUUUCUAAUCAGACUGCCCCGGUAACGGGGAGGAAGGAGGGGAUGAUGUCAGGUCAGUAUUACCCUUACACCCUGGGCUAGAAACACGAUACAAUGGUUAGUACAAUGCGCAGCGAAGCCGCGAGGUGGAGCAAAUCGCAUCAAAGCUAAUCUCAGUUCGGAUUGGAGGCUGAAACUCGCCUCCAUGAAGUCGGAAUCGCUAGUAAUCGCAGAUCAGCAAGCUGCGGUGAAUACGUUCCCGGGUCUUGCACACACCGCCCGU
RNAcentral lists this ribosomal RNA (484 nucleotides) under uncultured bacterium. RNAcentral's name for it is "partial 16S ribosomal RNA". It matches the Rfam family "Bacterial small subunit ribosomal RNA", at positions 899 to 1397 of the family's 1533-position model. The record is from RNAcentral.